UACGAAGGGGGCUAGCGUUGCUCGGAAUCACUGGGCGUAAAGGGUGCGUAGGCGGGUCUUUAAGUCAGGGGUGAAAUCCUGGAGCUCAACUCCAGAACUGCCUUUGAUACUGAAGAUCUUGAGUUCGGGAGAGGUGAGUGGAACUGCGAGUGUAGAGGUGAAAUUCGUAGAUAUUCGCAAGAACACCAGUGGCGAAGGCGGCUCACUGGCCCGAUACUGACGCUGAGGCACGAAAGCCAGGGGAGCGAACAGG
This 253-nucleotide ribosomal RNA is filed under the name uncultured bacterium. RNAcentral describes it as "partial 16S ribosomal RNA". It matches the Rfam family "Bacterial small subunit ribosomal RNA", at positions 524 to 776 of the family's 1533-position model. The record is from RNAcentral.